CUUUUCACUUUUCUCUUUUGCCACCAGAGGGCAGGUGUAGGAGCAGAUGAGAAAAUGAAUAGGUUCUCUCAUGGGGAGGAUAAAUCUUCAUACUGCUUAUUCCAUGUCCUGGGAAUUCUUUCUUACUUCUCCUCAUUGUGAACCUCAUUGCAUAUCUGUGGAACUGUGCCUCAUUUAAGGCCUGGCCCAAGGACCCUCUGACUUUCUAUGUGAGAGGCCCUCACAGAUGGUCGACACCUGAUAAAUGUAUUUACCGAAGCCCUGCAACAUUGGUUUGAGCUCUGGCCUGAAUUUCUGGAUGAGAGGUGCCCCAUCAACCGGAAAAGGUUUUGGCAAUUGUGAAUGAAAUCACCGUAAAUAUUCACAUGGAGAUUUUUGUGUGGACUGAAGUUUUCCAAUCAGUUUGAUUGAGGAUCUUCAAGAUUUCCUUUAUGAGGAAGUCCCUUCAAUUUACAGAAGACCCAUCAGGGUGCCAACUUCCAUCUGGACACAGUUGUUAAGAAUAUAACAUGGGUGAUGAGCUGAAAAUUGGAGGAACUGAAAAACAGAGCUUUUAAAUGUCAUUUCUAGUUCUGCUCAAGAUCAAAAUUAUCUUAUAGUUGGGAGGGUACCUGAAUCCUCCCCCACCCCACUUUUCAUUUCAUCUAAAUACCAGCAAAGGAGAGGGAAUGAGGCAAUGCAAUGUUCCUGAGAAUUCAGAUAAUCUCAGGGAGUUCAGUUUUCUGCAGUAUUUUCUAUUGCAAUGCUAUACUGAUUUCCGAUGCAUCACCAGUGACAUGUAACAAUAAUUUCUAAAGUUCAUCGAGGGCUUACUCAGUUUGAAAUCCUUUAUGCAUUGUAUAUAAGUAUGCUACAUACAUCAUAUUUAAGUAAUUUCAGCCAGGGCUUCUCAACCAGGGGCAAUUUUGCCCUCCCCACUCUCCAGGGGUUUUGGCAAUCUCUGGAGACGGUUUUGGUUGUCACAACUUGGGUGGUGGCGGGGUGGCUAGCUCUAGCGGCAUGCAGUGGGUAGAAGCUAGAGGUGCUGCUAAACAUUCUGGGACAGGCCCCUGCAUCAGAGGUCACCUUAGCCCCAAAUGUCAAAAGUACUGAGGUAGAAAGAACUUGACUUAAUCCAUUCAGCAACCCUGUGAGGUGGGUAUUUUUAUUACUUUUUGUCAUUACAAUAUAUUUGGCCUGUAACAUUGCAUAUAUUUAAAUAGUACAAAAUGUCAAUUUGACACACUCACAUUGUAAUACGAUUGCCACUGGAUCAACAAUUAGCACCUUCAUCACCUCACCUAAUUAUUCUUUCUAAUCAUGGAAUGAUUAAAUUCCAGUCUCUUAGCAAGUCUGAUGAUUACAGUACACUCUCGUUGUCUAGAUUCACUGUGCUGUACGAGAGGUAGGUAUCAUUAACCUCAUUUCCAGAAAAGAGAACUGUCACAGAGAAGUGAUCCCACAGCCGAGUAAGUCGUGGUGCCAGGAGUGAAAAUUUAGCUCUCCAUUACUGUCUCCAGAGAAUGUUGAUGAUCACCGGUAGGGUCUGAGUUUUGGGGCAGAGCACAGAUCCCGCCUCAUUCUGGGCACUGGCCUCAGCCAGGAGCUCUUCUUGCCGCUGCAAGAUUAACAGAGGACAACAUCCCAACUAUCAGGCUAGGAAGUCCAAGAGACAGUUGUUACUUGAUUGCAUAUCCUGUAUGACUGAACAAAAGAUGAGUAAAAGGAAAACAGAAGACACAA
Molecule: long non-coding RNA, 1722 nt
Organism: Canis lupus familiaris (dog)
Lineage: Eukaryota; Metazoa; Chordata; Mammalia; Carnivora; Canidae
Exons: 6
Source: RefSeq, a predicted model, not a curated record